This 400-nucleotide ribosomal RNA is filed under the name uncultured bacterium. Its description in RNAcentral is "bacterial SSU rRNA". It matches the Rfam family "Bacterial small subunit ribosomal RNA", at positions 355 to 774 of the family's 1533-position model. The record is from RNAcentral.
UUAGGAAUCUUCCACAAUGGGCGAAAGCCUGAUGGAGCGACGCCGCGUGAGGGAUGAAGGCCUUAGGGUUGUAAACCUCUAAAAGAGGGACGAUAAUGACGGUACCUCUUGAAUAGCACCGGCUAACUCCGUGCCAGCAGCCGCGGUAAUACGGAGGGUGCAAGCGUUAUCCGGAAUCACUGGGCGUAAAGGGCGCGUAGGCGGUCUGUUAAGUCCGAUGUUAAAUCCCGGGGCUCAACCUCGGAUAAGCGUUGGAUACUGGCAGGCUAGACGGUUGGAGAGGCGAGUGGAAUUACCAGUGUAGCGGUGGAAUGCGUAGAUACUGGUAGGAACACCCAUUGCGAAGGCAGCUCGCUGGACAACACGUGACGCUGAGGCGCGAAAGUGUGGGGAGCAAACC